Molecule: ribosomal RNA, 1284 nt
Filed under: 'Hishimonus phycitis' 16SrVI phytoplasma
Lineage: Bacteria; Bacillati; Mycoplasmatota; Mollicutes; Acholeplasmatales; Acholeplasmataceae
Also listed under: 1 other name
Description: bacterial SSU rRNA
Rfam family: Bacterial small subunit ribosomal RNA
Source: RNAcentral
CUCAGGAUUAACGCUGGCGGCGUGCCUAAUACAUGCAAGUCGAACGGAAACCUUCGGGUUUUAGUGGCGAACGGGUGAGUAACACGUAAGCAACCUACCCUAAAGACGAGGAUAACCAUUGGAAACAGUGGCUAAGACUGGAUAGGAAGAUAAAAGGCAUCUUUUAUCUUUUAAAAGACCUAGUAAUAGGUAUGCUUUAGGAGGGGCUUGCGCCAUAUUAGUUAGUUGGUAGGGUAAUGGCCUACCAAGACGAUGAUGUGUAGCUGGACUGAGAGGUUGAACAGCCACAUUGGGACUGAGACACGGCCCAAACUCCUACGGGAGGCAGCAGUAGGGAAUUUUCGGCAAUGGAGGAAACUCUGACCGAGCAACGCCGCGUGAAUGACGAAGUACUUCGGUAUGUAAAGUUCUUUUAUCAAGGAAGAAAAGCAAAUGGCGAACCAUUUGUUUGCCGGUACUUGAUGAAUAAGCCCCGGCUAAUUAUGUGCCAGCAGCCGCGGUAAGACAUAAGGGGCAAGUGUUAUCCGGAAUUAUUGGGCGUAAAGGGUGCGUAGGCGGUCUAGUAAGUCAGUGGUGUAAUGGCAACGCUUAACGUUGUCCGGCUAUUGAAACUGCUAAACUUGAGUUAGAUAGAGGCGAGUGGAAUUCCAUGUGUAGCGGUAAAAUGCGUAAAUAUAUGGAGGAACACCAGAGGCGUAGGCGGCUCGCUGGGUCUUAACUGACGCUGAGGCACGAAAGCGUGGGGAGCAAACAGGAUUAGAUACCCUGGUAGUCCACGCCGUAAACGAUGAGUACUAAGUGUCGGGUUAAACCGGUACUGAAGUUAACACAUUAAGUACUCCGCCUGAGUAGUACGUACGCAAGUAUGAAACUUAAAGGAAUUGACGGGACUCCGCACAAGCGGUGGAUCAUGUUGUUUAAUUCGAAGAUACCCGAAAAACCUUACCAGGUCUUGACAUGUUUUUGCAAAAUGAUAGUAAUAUCGUGGAGGUUACCAGAAACACAGGUGGUGCAUGGUUGUCGUCAGCUCGUGUCGUGAGAUGUUAGGUUAAGUCCUAAAACGAGCGAAACCCUUAUCGUUAGUUGCCAGCACGUUAUGGUGGGGACUUUAACGAGACUGCCAAUGAUAAAUUGGAGGAAGGUGAGGAUCACGUCAAAUCAGCAUGCCCCUUAUGACCUGGGCUACAAACGUGAUACAAUGGCUGUUACAAAGGGUAGCUGAAACGCAAGUUCUUGGCCAAUCCCCAAAAACAGUCCCAGUCCGGAUUGAAGUCUGCAACUCGA